Molecule: long non-coding RNA, 602 nt
Organism: Culex quinquefasciatus (southern house mosquito)
Lineage: Eukaryota; Metazoa; Arthropoda; Insecta; Diptera; Culicidae
Exons: 3
Source: RefSeq, a predicted model, not a curated record
CACCGGUGAACUUACCGAGCAAGAGCUGGCCCAGCUGAAGGCCGCGAAGAUUCCCAAAGGGAGGAAAUGGAAAUCUUCGGAUCGGCGCGAUCCAAAUCGGGAUGAUUCGGCCAAGGAGAAUGAGAGCGUGCUGACGAAGUUGACGCUGGACGUGUUUGGCGUGUUUGAGGUGGAAGACACUCCGGACUCGCCCGAGGGAUGUGACCGAAGUGGUUCCCCUCCGAGAAGAAGCCAAACAACACGAGGCGACGCGUCUACCGAGCAACCAGGGGAUGGUGCAUCCGUGCUAUUGUGAAAAUAUUCAGCAAGCUGGGCAACGUGCAGGCCUUUUGCAAAGAGUGCGACGAGAUAUUCGGCACCAAGGGCGCUCUCAACGAACACCAGCUCACGCACAGCGACGAAAAUCGACGUCACGUUGAAUAUGACCACGGUCUCCACCAGAAGUUGGCCGAAUAGGUUCAAGCAAAAACUGCCAAGCAUUAGAGGGUGUACGAUUUAACGCAAGUGAGUAAUUGUUGAAUAAAAAAUGUAUUAAAAAGUGUUAACAUCACCAAAGGGGUUCAUUGGGUGAAAUUAACGAUUGUAAAUUGAUCAAUACAGCA